Molecule: long non-coding RNA, 433 nt
Filed under: Gallus gallus (chicken)
Lineage: Eukaryota; Metazoa; Chordata; Aves; Galliformes; Phasianidae
Source: RNAcentral
GCAGGUGCUGCUGGUGGCAGCAGGAUUGGGGAAACUGAGGCAGGAGGUGCAGCUUGUAGGCAGGUUUGCAGCCCGCCAGUGCUGGCUGCAUGCUCUGAUGUUCCUUCAGCAACUCCUCCAGCGCUGCAGCAUUUUCUUUCUUCUCCGUGAUGAGGCGCACCAGGACCCCGAUGGUGUCCUCGUUGGCAUCCUCAAUCUGGUAGAUGGAGCUGGGACCGCUGGUGCUGUGCUCGUGCUCCUUGUGUGCGGUGCAGUGGUAGCCCUUCUUCUUCAGCAGGUUGCACACCAGGAUGCCCAGCAACCCCAUGGCACAGAACACGGGCACGAUGGCCAACACGGCCGACUGCGCCGUUGCCGCCUCCUCUGGCUGAAGCUCCCAUGUCCCAUUGGUCCCCGAUGGUCCCCGAGCUGCCACCACACUCCGGGCUCGCCG